ACUCUUUAGUGUUUCUUAUUAAACAUUGGUCUUGGACUCGGAGUGCGAGAACGGACUGCUGAAGAUUUUUAGUCAUCUUGGCCCGGUCAUCUUUAAUUGUCAGGCAAAGAAAGCGAGUUUUAAUAAUACAUUACAAGUUUAGCCAAGCAGUACCCGUCUUAAAGUUUACAUCAAAAGAUAUUGUCACUUUUGUGGUUGGGACAUCUUGAUCGUGAAGAGCUGCAUUGCUAGAAGAAACAAUGUUUCUUUGGUUGGAUGCUCAUUUAGUGCUGCAUCAGUGCUUUCACAACUUUCCUCAAGUUGAAUAGCAGAAAUCUGAACAUUUUUAAAGAGCACGCUGGAGAUACAUGUCAGAUGAAUAUGAAAGAGACUGAUGUCAGAGUUUAGCAGUAUUUAAAACCUAAAGCAGAUGAGAGGCCAAAGGAUGUGAAGUAAUUUGGCAUUGUCAGUCAACACGAUCAACAAUCACUCAUCAUGAAAUCAAAUUAUUUUACCAACAACAGAAGGCAGAAGCCCCUAGUGAAGGAAUCUGGGCUCUUGAAACCUGUUCAUUUAUGAGCUUUCGUAAAGGCAUCGGCCUUUUGAAAGGCGCUGAUCAAUACCAAUCUCUAAUAUUGAAGACCAUCAGCAAACUUAAAUAUAUGAGAUACAACAAUGUGCGGUUGACGAACAUUUCACAUUUCCAGGAAGAGACCAACAAGAGAAGCAAGUAUUCAGGUAUUGGUUAUGGUAGCAGGGAAGAGAAUCCACCAGUUCUCCUUGAGUCACCAUUUCCAGAAGAAUGGCUCAAGUCUUCAAGGGAUGCAGAGGACAUUGACAUUUGACCAUGCAGAUGAAGGAAGAGGUUCACAAGAGAAGCUUAGCAAGUAGUCAAGUGAUACUGAGAGCAUUGUUUAUGGCCUAAAGAUUGAGUAUUCAAGGCAUGCAGAGAACAUUCACAACGGGGAAGAGAAACCGUGGUCACUCACUGAAUCUUCUUCAGGAAUAGGAUCUUUGUUUCUGUUCUAAGUAUUCAAGAGAUUCUGUUCCAAGUAUUCAAGAGAUUCUGGAGCAGUGGUUAAUGGCAGCAGAGCAUCACUCCAUGCAUCACUUCCAGAAAAAGGACCAGGAGCAAGGUUUGGUUUAACCUUUUGUUGUUGUCAGUGAAGUAUUGUUGAUGAAUCUGUUUCCUACAUAUAUGUUUGAUGGUAAAGAGUAAAACAAAAAAGGUUUGAAAUUCAUUAUUCAUUUUUGUCAGUUUUGAAGCAGGAAUUCAAUUAAAACUAAUAUGCAGGCUUUACAAUGUAAUGUGUAAAUUAUGAUUCAUGACUUUUUUUGUAGCUUGAAUUUUUUUUGUGUUUAAGAAGUAUAUUCUGCAAGUUUCAAUAGGAAACAGCAAGGGCAAAAUAUAAAGCGAUAUAGAUUAGAUUAUUUUGGCUGUAAGACCAAAGAUGGUAUCUCAUAGCAAUGCUUUUUUCUGUCAACUCCUGGUGGGUGUUUCAUAAAGCUGUUCGUACAAAGUUAAGAGCGACUUUUAGAAUGACUGGUGAACCUUAUGCGCUAAAUUAUCGCCAAUGAACUUUUAGUGGUGAAUAUCAUUUACCACAAGAAAGGAUCACUAGUCGAACUUAAAGUCACUCUUAUGAACAGCUUUAUGAAAUGGCUCCCAGGGUCCAUUCCAUCCAGCAAUGGGGUCUAUGUCCAUAUGUCAGUUGAAUUAAAUCUCUGUGGCUGCUGCUGUUUAACAAAUAAUCAUCAAAAUAUUUGGGUGGCCUAAUUACCCGAUGCUGUUUCAGAUUGCAAUCGCUAAAUUGUUGCCUGCUACUAAAUAUCAGUUUCUUUUUUCAGAAUAAAGUUAUUACAAGACUCAAUGCCCCAUCUCAAAAGAGGUUUCAAUUGUACCAUGGUUCAAAACCAUGGACUAUGCAGGUAUGUGUACAUUAUUAUGAUUAUUUUAUCACAUCUACUAAGAAAAGCCCAAUUAUGUAUGCAAGUCCAUGGAUUUGAACUGUGGCGUGGCCCAAUUGAAACCUCUUUAAAGAAUAUUGGCCUAUAUUAAACAAAGUUCAGAUACUUGACUUUGAAGGUCUUUGGAAUGCAUACUCAACUCCGCUUCUUUUUCUUUAUCCUGGUUAAGAAUGGAGAGUCAUAAUAUAGAUAUAUGGACUGCUUUGAGAGGCAUGGUUGUUUCUAGAGGCUCAAGGGGACUGCAACGCGACUGCCCGAGGGCAUAGUCUGGCCGGUGCGGUACCUGCGAGCCAAAAGAAACUACCAUGUCUCGAAUAUAAAAGCAGUCCAUAUAUAUUUUAUGAACCGAAUUAAACAUUAGCUCUAGUCUAGAUCUAGGUCUAGGUCUAGAUCUUAAGAAGUUAGGGUCUAAGCCUAAACGCCGUAGCCCAUGCUAACAUCAGGCCUAACUUGUUAUGUUAGGAGUAGGACCUAACUUAGGUCUCGAAUUCGAAUAUCAAAGCAGUCCAUACUGGUAUGGUAGCGGUAGUAGGAACCAAAUUAGGGUCUGAUUGAAUAGACCUACCGUAAGCCUAGCCUGAGUCUUAAAUCUCCAAUAGAGUCUAACUUUAGAUCUAACGUAGACCCCUACGUCAGAUCUAAGAUUAAACGGAACAUUAGGUCUAAGUUAGAUCUAGAGUCUACUCUAACUUCUAAGCUAACGUUAGAUCUAACAACAACAUUAUCAUUAGACCUAACGCCUGGACCUAACAUUGUUGUUUGUCAUACCGAACCUUUGAUCUAUGCAGUGACCGUCUUAUCUUUUUAGCCGAAUCCCCUUUUGCGAGCAUGCAUUUGAACCAUAGAGAUAUGAUUUGAACGAACAACUGCAAUAAGACUUGAUGAUUGAUACAUCUGUUAUGUCCUUAUAAGUUAGUCUUCUUUUCAAUAAUGCCAUAUUUUUUAACAGGAAUAAACAAGCAAAGCUCAAGAUCGGCAUCAUUCCUGCGAUAUGUCAUAUCCAUUGUGCGCAAUAAGCGCGUAAAUGCGCGAAUUGUCUAAAACUUUCGAUCAAAUCACAUGGAUAUUUGAUCCGCAAUCACCGCAGGAAGCAACAUUUUGCAGGCAUUCAAAUGGAGAUCUCGGCCAAAUUUUGCUAUGCCCGUCGUUAAAACUUUACCAGCGUACCAUUCCUGAGCACCAGUAAUUUCAACCUCAUAGAAGUGUUCAACUUGUUUUCCUACACAUUUGCAGUGAAGGUUUGAGAAAAAUCAUACCAUCAAUUUAAGAAUUGAGUAUAGAAUAUAGACAAAUCCAUUUUGUUCAGUGCAUGCCAGCCACUCAUGUGAUCUGGGAAACCUCUGAUGCAGACAAACACAUAGGCCCAUAUUUUGAAGUCAGGUUAAGCUUAAACUCAAGUUUAAAGUUGUGGUUUAAGUAUGGAUAGCCAAUUGUUUCAUAAAUCACUAACAGUAGAGAUAUCAUAUAUCAGCUCAUUUGGCUCUUAAAUCAUUCAUAAUUGUUAAUAGGAAGUAUAAAUAAAUGAUUGUCUUUACCAUUGAAGAAUCAGGAAAGAGCACAGUAAAUAUAAUAAACAUACAACUUAAUAAUAUUUUUGAAACUUUAGGCUUCCCAUAAUUUUAGCACAGAGAUAGACCAUGGUUUUAGUUAAACCUGACUUCAAAAUGCGGGCCAUAGGGUUUGUCUAUAUGUACCUGAGCAGUAGAUCUGGCUUCCGGGUCACAAAAGGAUUUUUCUCAGGAAAUAUUUCUGAAACUAGAUGAUUGUUUCCUUUCCCAGACUGGUAGCAUAUCUUCAAGGUGACCUCAAAGCUAUGUUGCUUUUGUAAUCUUACAGGGUCUCUUUAUCAGAUAGUUAAUUCCAAUCUUUAACCUGGCUUGUACUACUUUGGUCUACUUUCUAAGAUGCUGUCAAUUAUAGGAAUGAAAUGUGUGCCAUCAAACAAGUCACUCAUGUUGCCACCUUUCAAUGCUUACCAUCACCAUAAAUUGAAUGUUGUCCUUGCCCCUUGUCUGACUUCCUAACCUAACUAGGGUCUUUUUGUCCACCUUUCCUCUUCCACAGCCAAUGACCAAUGUUCAAUAUGAUUUAGUUUGUUUUGCAAUUUAUACAGCUUUCUACAUCAUCCUUCUGAUCAGAAAUAAUACCAAAGAUUCUAUGAAAGAUUUUCUUGAAUUCUUUCCCUUCAGGUUUGCAUUAUUGAGCAGUUCUUGGAUUCUUACACGGAAGAGAGCACCAAAAUUUGAACAGAUUAUGGUCUCUUUUCUCUACAAAUUAUGAAAUAUGUCGUGGAGUUAUGGAAUGCAAUAGGUGUGAGUUUGACUCAAAAGGAUUCUGUCACCGCAGCAGUAGUGUCACUCCCCAUAUCCAUCAUUCUUAAAGUUCAAUCUGUUAUUGUGAAUCGAAAGUUUUGGGACUUCUUGUGGAAUUUUGUUGUUCCAGCCCCAUGGAUAAUGUUCCCCAUUAUACUCAAAUCGUUCUUUGCAUAAUGUCGUGUUGGGAUCGGUAAUUAUAAGAAGGGAAACGUAAUGAGGAAACUUUGGAGAAAGUUAUACAGUUCAAAAUCACAAAGUAUUUAAUUAUCAAUAUUCAGCUACAAUUCGAAGUACAUGAAGAUUCAGAUGUAAUAGGAGACUAUGAAUAUAAAAUAAUUUAGAAAUAUCAGAUUGAGAUUCGGAGUGAAGUUAAAUUAAUAUUCGAUGGACGUCUAAGUCUUGAAGUCAGUCAGUCUAUCUGGAUGAGUGUGGGUCUAGUAUUCUUCUGUAUUCUAUCUCUCUAAUAAUCAAGAAGUCUUAUUUAUAUCAUUAGUUUUGGGGGUGUAACUAUUUAAGGUGGGAGUGAUCUAAACUUGAUCUGAUUGGACUACAGGUAACUGUCUAUCAAACUUUCUCUGGUAUAAGGGGUGUGGUGAUGCUCUAUGCAAGUGACUGGGGCUGGAAGUGUGAGUCAUACUUUUUAGAACCUUUGUUCCUUUAAGUUAGCUGAUGUCACCGAGGGUUGGUAUUUUUAUGGUCAAGGUUUAGGAGUUAAAUGGUAUUGGGGGUUUGGGAAUUCUUAGAUGACAUUGGGGGAGUUUGUAAACAAGUGAAGGUGAAUGACUGAAAGGAUAACAGGAAGUUAAAUACAUACUACAUAACAAUAAGCUAAAUUGCUCUCCGGCUUUUGAAUCUUUCUUUUUCCGUCUCGAACGUCCUGUACGAGUUUGCGUUUUGUUUGGCUCCCUGUUUUAUUGGGGAUUUUGAAAGAAUAUGUACCGUUAUCAAACUUUUCCCUCAAUUCAUUCUUUCCUCUUGACCCUUUGGUGUUCGUCCAAGAUUUCUAAAUUUGAAAAAACUUACUUUUCAGAGAAUUUAAACAUGUGACUGUAACAUGGACUUUGUCGAGAGGAAUUGCAUACUGUGACAUGAGGAUCACAACCAUAUUCAGAUUAUUAUCCGAGAGGCAUCCAUCCAUGUUUUGGAUCAUACUGAAGAGAAAGAUUUCAGAAAUAUCCAAUUCAAGAGUAUGCAUAUAGCAUUUUCUCCCUCAUUGUUUGACACAGCUUGAGUACACAGAAACAAGCCAGCAAAAUGAACAAGAAAUGCAUUAACACAUCCAUCAUUAAAUACUUUGAGAUUUGUCAAAUUUCAACAAACAAAAAUGGUUACAUGUAACUUCCAAAAAAUGAAAAAUUAAGAAUAAAAGGGAGCUAACAACAGUCAAAGUUCUCGAUUACAAUAGACUUGUUUGAAUCGACAAAAGUGCCUCUCUGGGCAAAGGCAGUGCAGGUCCACCCUGACAGUUUUGCAAUAUACGGACUUCACUUCAUUCUCCCCUUGAGCAUUGUCAAUUAUACAUGUAGUAUACCCAUUGUUUUGCACACACUAGUCUAUCAUGUUACACUCAAGAUUUUCUGCAUCUGCCUCAGUCAAGAUCUCUGGCUUAUGUUGCCGAAUAGAGUGGCAGAAAUGAAUGUGAUUACAAAUGCAUCCCCCAUUCCUAUUAUAAUGUUCACACUCACAGAAAAGCUUGGUGGGAACAACUUUGUACAUUACACCUGGUGUCCUUUCAGAUUCUGGAAAAAAUGUGUUCUCCGUGGUUGUGAAUAUUGCCAGUUAACUUUGUCAACCAGCCCUUCCUCACAAGAUGCUCUGCUCUGACAAUACCCGAGGACUGUCUCUUUAUACAAUCCUUUCAUGGAAUCUUGACUUUAUCAUGAGAUAUUUUAACACCUGGUUCAUUCACAAAUUGAUGAGAUCAUCAAGUCGACAUUUUUGUGUCAUUUUAGAACUGAUGCUUGAGUCUCAAUAAGAAUCAGGGGAUGGGGGAGCAGAAUUUUAAAGUUGAUUGUUUGUGUUUAUAGUAAACAAAUGGUGUCAAGAAACGCAACUCUGGGGCAUCAUAUGGUAAAUCACAGAAAGGUCAAACAUUUUCUUUAUAUUCCACCAUCUGUAUGUUAGGCAGUCGUUAGUCCAUCCAUUUGGUCCCUUAUACAAAUGUUCAUACAUUUUGUACAAUCUUGUUUGGCUAGCUUGCGACUAGCUAGAUUGUUUCAAAUAUGUAAAUGAGUUGCAUGCUCUGUUGCUAGAACUAGCUUGCAGCAAUUUAUACAACUAGCUCAGCUGGGCUAUCUAGCAGCUAAAUUGUAUACUUGGAAUGAAACCAGUUUGAAACAAGCUAGUAAAACCAGCUUUUUACAAGCUAGUUUAGCAAGGAUGCAUGCAACUCAUUUGCAGUCCUCGGGACUGGCAGUUUUCUUUCUUUGUAUCAAAAUUGAAGUACAUAAAGAUAAUUGAUAAUCAUUUUGUGAUAAAAAUUUUUACUUCGUUGUAACAGGAAUUUUGUUAUAUAACCGUGUUUGUUACAAUCGGAGUGCACUGUACACCAUGAUAUUAUAAAUUUCAUAUUGCUGUGAAUCAAAAUUUUGUAUAUGGGUUGCAAAAACAAUAAAGAAAAAAAAAAAAUCAAUUUUGGGACCCGAAGAUUUUAUUUGUAUAAAAAUAUUUAGUUAUAUUAGGGUCCUUUAUGAGAAUCCAGUAUAAUGCAAAAAGUAAACUCGUUGAGGGAAACUUGGAGCUCUUGCUGACAAACGUCGUUCAUACCGUCAACCCCCUCUUCAACUUGCUCUUCAACAUCACGAGCUAUCAGACCUAUACCACAGAGUUUCCUGAAGCACUUUUGGAUGGUUUCAGGGCUGGUUUCCCUCCAUGAACUAACGACCCAGUUGAUGGCCUGUAGAACGUCUGUCUUCUUCAGUAAUUCAGGUGCUCUCAGCCCAGGCUCUUGCUCCAUACCUCUCAGCUGCUUCUUCCUGAACUUCAGCUUAGUUGCCUGUAUUAUGCCUUGGUCCAUGGGCUGGGUGAUGGAAGUUUGGCGAGUUUGCUGAUGGAGAGCUGCAGUUGGGGAUGACAGAGGGCGUUGUCAAGAAGCAUCAAGAUGUGCCGGCGCUGUCUAGUUAUCUUGGUGUUGAGAGACUUCAUGUAUAGCUUGAACAGGGUGCUAGUCAUCCAAGCCUUCUUGUUAGCAUGAUAGUCUACUGCAAGGCUUUUCCUGUCGAUUCUGCCAAAACAGUUGGAGUUGAUCGAUUUCCUGAUGACCAUAGGUUUCUCCUUCUCCCCAAGUGCAUUGGUGCCCAGCAUCAACGUGAGCCGCUCUUUCGAUCUCUUACCUCUUAAGCAGUCAGCGCCUUUGAAGUGCAGAAUGCUGUCGACCGAAGCCUUGAAGAAAAGACCAGUCUCAUCCAUAUUAAAGAUGUCUCUCAGCUCAUAACCAUCACAAAACUAAGGCAACUUUGUCUUCCAAAGGAAACGCUGACAGGAAACAUUCGGGCUGUAGAAUCCUUGAACCACUGGUAGACCAUGGAGUUGAGUUCAUCGUUGCUGGGUCUUGCAGAAUUUUCUUUCCUGUUGAGAGGAACAUGGCUUUCAAACUCCUCUAUCCAUUCUUGCUUUCUCUUGAGAAUGUAGGAGAUUUGUGUUCUACCACAUCAAUGACCUUGGGUGCUUAACCUCUGAGCAGUAGAUCGAGCGCUCAACUUCUGCUGAUCGUGCAUCUUGAUGACUUCAAUUUUCUUUUCAAGAGAGAGUGGAUGGCUACCCCCGAUUGCGGUGUUAUUAGGAGCCAUUGCAGAUUCUUGGAGUAGUGUAUCUGAGUAUAAACGGAAGUUUAUGAAACUGAGUUGAUGACAUGCGAGGUGAGGGUAGACGAUUUUGAUGAAUAGAACAGCAGGUUGUAGGAGUGCAUUGAUUCGUCAAAAUUUUGGACAAGUGCCAUUAUCUGGGAUUGUGACGGCUUAUAUAGCGUCGAAGCGGGUAAUAAUUGGUUCAAAAAACUUUUUUUCAGUUCACUUGUUUAUUUUUGCCAGACAAAAUAAAGAGUAAUAUGACUUGAACCUGAACAUAAUAAUGAUAUUAUUUUUCUAAAAUUUAUUUUGACUUAACAAAUAUUUUUAUUACAAUUUUCAUAACAUAGAAAUAAACAUUAAAAGUGAAGGAGGUCGCUUCGACCUGAAUGAGGUCAAGUAAUUACGCCUUCUCGCACCUUGGUACCCGAACAAUGGGUGCGAGUUGCAGGUGCGAAACUUUUGAUUAAACAACUAACAAUAGAAAAUCUUGGCUAAGUUACAAUAGAAGUUUUCUAACGAACGUUACAUUGCCAACAAUGAUGCCGCCAGCUCAUUACUCGUAUCAAAGGCUCCCCUUGCCUUAGCCUCAUUCCACUGAACGAAUGUCUUCUCCCUCAAAACAAUAUUCUUUCUUUUCGCUCUUUGUCCUUUCUCCCGUUCUUCAUAGUUCGCUCUUGCCCUUCACCGCAAUUCCUCGUAUUUCUUUUACCUCAAUUCUGCCAUUUAAAGGCAAGACAAAACAUCGCUCCCUGUGUAAAAAAGAUAAAUGUUGAUACCUGAAAAUAGUAUGGAUAUAACAGUUACAAUAUUAAAAUGCCGUCAUGAAAAUCUCACAUCACAAAAAUCAUUGGAUAUAUUUAUAAAAAUAUGAAAUAUAAGUGACCCUCUUUCAGUUGCAGGAGUCCGUUGUGACAGAGAGUUUGUUGCAUUUCAAAAUUGUGCCAUGUAUUUAUUAGUAGCGCCCCCUUCCGAUGAGAGUGUGCAAUGCUCAUAGAUGAUCGUUGAUUGGUGCACUGAUGUGUGGAGGCGGGGCAACGAGCGAUGAGGAACAAGUGUUUUGCUUCUAGGAAGUACGUUCCCAUAUACACAUUGGCGUUUGCGAAGUGCCAUUGCAGUUUAGCCGAUCAGGGUGUCUGUGUUUACAAAGAAUCCCCAUGUUUCCACUGCCGCCAUGUCCUCGCACUGAUUGUGAGCGCUGAUUGUGUUUAUGAUACGGUCUCAUGUGGUCGUAAGAGGUCAAAGGCCAGUCUAGUGUGUCUGUGUGACUAUUUAUAGAAAUCCCAACACCACUUGGAUUUAUUGCGUGUACAACGUAGGUCAAUGCUCUUUCUAAUUAUUCUUUGUAAUGAAUAAGUGUUUCUUACCCGAAUGAGUAUCUCUUCGAACAAUACAUUAAGAUGUGGUUGUGGAGCGACUCCAAUUCCCCAGUGUGCCUAGAUUGCAAGAGAAGAAAAUAAUUGAAUGGGUGCCUGCAUAUCAGCAUAUUGCCAAAAACAAUACAAAAACAUCAACAGCUCUUACUAUAUCCCCACCCCGUCUUCCCUGAAUGCGGCACAGCAUUCCAAAUAUGUAAAGGGUAUGACACAUUCUGGUUUAAUUAUCUGAUCAGUAAAUUAGACAUCACAAACAGGAGGCAUUUGAUGUAUAACAUUUAGGACCGUAGAGCACAUGGUAUCCCUUCCCAAACAAACUAAUCAAAAACAAAAAAUAUGUAUAAGUGAAAGAUAUCCCAGAUUUCUUGAUGAAAAAGUCAAGCAAUAUAGAAGAACAAAAUGGAAAAAUAUAUCAUUUACCUGAAGUUCACAUAUCUCACAAUUGUGUUGAUGAGCUUCUUGUCUGUCACCAGGCGGACAAGGGCAUCAUGUGGUGGCAUGCCCGGUGAGAGCCACUGAUAGCGUUCUGUGAGCUCUCCAUGUUCACAUCUUGGCACACCCCCGAAACCUCCAGUCAGCACCCAUUCUCCGUUCCGGCGUGACGUCAUCUGCCCUAGCUACGCCUUGGAGACCGAUCACUUGCCCGCCCGCCCCAGACACAAGAUAUGUAUGUUACUGCCCCAAGAGGGCUACAGACAAUGAAUGCUUUUACAGUGCUGUGUUUCUUAUAAUUCGAAUAAACUUCAGCUCUGGCUUUCAGUUUUUUGGGUCGAUCAAUAAAAAUCUCAAAACAAUCCAUGAUCCCUGUCAGUCGAGGAAAUAGAGCUUUAAACACAGGAGGUAUUGUUCCCUGGAGGGUUUCUCUAUCUGGCCAGUGUAUCAGAAAGUCCAACUUAAGGUGAAGUAGAUCAGUCACACGCCCAAAAAUAUCUGCGAUUGUACUUUUUGCAAAGCCAGUGUGAAGAGACAGAUAUUCAAAAGGGAUAUUGUGACGUAAUUUUACUAGAGUUAUUAGAAGUUGCUGUGGAAGUGGCAUAAUAUUGCUCAUUUUUUUUGUGGAUACUGAUGUCAGGAAUGUGACUAAUGUAAAAAACACAGACAGAGAAAUCCCUGUCAAAAACUUUGACUGCUUGUCGUCAGUUAAAACGCUUGGGUCCAAACGCGAAAUUUUGAGUAGUUUAUUUGCCUGGUCCAAGUCUGCCUGCAAAGUUUCCUUUUCUUUUCUGAGCAUGUUGAUUUCUUGGAAAUACAUGUCCCUUUCCUCAUCACUUAGUUUGGAACUAUGGUCUUCAGCAGCAGCUUGUUCCAAAUGCUCUGGUUGCACUUCGUCUAUUCCAUUGGAUUCUUCACCACCAAAAGUUUUGUGCUGACUAUUCGCCUCAUCUUGAUCAACAUGUAUAGUACUAGGAGCGAUCUCUGAAAAUGAUCGUUUUCCAGAAUUUCGACGAUACCCAGAUAAGUUGUUCAUUUUGCGAUUUUUUCCUUUUCCAUUGCAUUUGUACGAUCUUCUCUUGGCAGGGACGUCAUUGAAGACUGAAGAAACACAGACGGUGCAUAAUCAGGAUGUAUUGGAUCAGUUUUUGCUUUGCCUAGGGUAUAAAGUAGAAAAACAAAUUAUUCAAUAAAAUGUUGUUACAAAAUAAAGACAUACAUAGGCAAAUACAUGUAAAUUUUAUUUGAGAGAUUCACAGCUGUCACAGUUUGGGCCAAACUCCUAAAAAUAAAAGAGAACCGAUGAAAAAAUAUUUAACAGAUUUUUUUCAAACCUACUUAUAAGUGUACACUGUUUUCAGUUAAUUGCACAAAAUGAUGCUAGAGUUAUUUUUAUUUCAAAUCUAAGUACAAUUCACAUGGAAGUAUGAAAGUUACAGUGCAUACUGUCCUGGGUUUUAGGGGAUUAAAUUAUUUGCACACAUAAAUCCAAAGUUCAUCCCAGCAUAGAUUCCUAUCACGACACAGUAAUUUUCAUGGAAAGCUCCCCCACCCCGACCUUCCCUACCCAGGGGAGGAGGGAGGGCCGGUUGCAGCUGGCACCAGCCAGAAUAUUUUGAUGGGGGGUGGGGGCAAUCUACAUGUAUAUGCUUAGAUGAGUUGGGUGAAGUUAGCGGCCACUUAUAUCUUUGUGUGCAAAUAAUUAGGUCCCUAAAACCCAGGAUUGCCAUCUUCUUAAUCGUAUUUCAGAAUCAAAAUUAGACGUUCGGGUUUCGUAAUUAAUGACUUGACUUGCUUGUCAUGUCACUGUCACAGACUCACAGUGUCGGUCUCAGCUCCCGAAAUUAUUUCACAAGAAAUUAACUUACGUAAAAUUCAGUACAUGGGACUGAGGAGAACUGUGAAUCUUAGCUUACACGAAGCAUCAUCGUUUCCUUAAUUUUUGGCCAAGAUAUUGAUUUGUCUGAUGGAAAAUAAUAAAAAAUUCGUAGUAAAUGAUAUCAAAAUUGUACCUGAUAAGAAGUGUUCCGAGCAAACAUACGUAUAUUUCGACGAUGGCUCCCAGCGUUUCUUGGUUUGGGGAUCUUUUCUCCCAAUCGCGUUUACCCAUUUUUCCCACCUUUCUCGUUGUUUUUCACGGUCUGGGAAGAUGGAAAAUGACAAUGACUUCCCUUUCAUCAUGUUAUGAUUGUGACAUCCUACAGCACAACAACUUUUCGGCAUUUUCAGUUAUUUUCCGCGACAGAAAGAUGGAAAAAUCAAGUAUAGUGUCUAGAUCUACCUACGUCUUCACUAGUUCACAAUGCAUACAAAUGGUUCGUUGCUCGCGUCGCUAAGGAGUUGUUUUCACCCAGGCAAUGCGGGGGGUCCGCAUUCUAGCGAAAGUACCCGGAUGAUCGGAACCGAGAAUUCAUGCUGGUUGCACACAUGGUGUACGAGUCCUCGCCACUUGCUCUGGAAGAAAAAUUAUAAUAUUGAAAGUUCAUUAAAUUUACUUUUAUUAUUAUUUUAAAAAAGGGAACAAAAGAACAAAGAGAAUGCAAUGUAUAUGUAUCAAUACUUAGAUAAUCUUUUAACUGCUUAUUGUUAUUUGAUUUGCUGAAUAUACUAUUACCAUAUAUUUACCUAAUUAUUUAGCUAAUUAUUUGUGUAAAGGACAAUUCAAAUAAUUUGUCUGACAUAAAUUUAUCAACUCACGUAAAACAGAUCUUCAUUGCCACUGCAAGUCUCGGCACAGUACCAAAAAUGGUUAACUACAUGCUUUACCCAGAACUUCAAAGGCCUGGUCUUUGCCCAACUCAAUGGAAAUACUUAAUGCUUUCCCCCACAUAAAGGUAACUUUCUAUUAAUUUCAUGUGUGCCAUCAACAUUAUGAUAUAUAUAUCCUUAUUUGUAUCGAGGCAUUCACAAAAAAAAAAAUAUAUUAAAGGGGUACUACGGGCUGACAAUAAUAUGGUUUGAAUAUUCAUGACAGUAUAACUGUUUUUUGCAAAAUAUUGUUAAACUUUUAAAAUUCCAUAACUCUGUUAUUUGUCAUCUGAUUUUGAUGAAAUUUUCAGCAUUUUGCUCAGUGAAUUUUACUCUUUUUAUUUAGCUAUAAAUAUUUCCAGCCCCCUUUAAUUAAUCUCUUAUAAAACUUGAUUUUUCAUCCUCCAGAUUGAAUUAUUUUAAAAUUAUAUAAGUAAGGCAUCAUCAAAUAGGUUUUGCUUCAUAUACACAAAGUGAUGUUUAUCUUACCUUGGACACCUUCUUUCCUGUUUUUGGCUCCGUGCCAAACAUCCCAACUGUGGAUAAUAUCUGGAUAAUCUCGUCCUGUUAAAAAGAGUAUCAUUAAUCCAGUAAUUUCAAUUUUAAUUGCUACUACAUUGAUUAUGACAUGCAAAAAAAACAUCACUUUACAGAACAACAACCAGAUCCUCAUGACACCCCUGUCUCCAUAGUUGUGGAACAAGAACAAGAACAAGAUGCAGCGCGAUCCUCUAAUAUUGCAGAUUUGCGAAAAUAUUGAGGGGUCAUUACGUGCCCCCUCCCUGGACCAUUAGGGUUAAAGACUUGUGAAUAAUAAUUACCUGCAGUCAAAUCUAGUGAGGACACCCAAGCAUCUCAGCUGGUCAUCUUCAGAACCCCUGCCAUGUAGAAGAGCCUGAAGAAUGCGACUCUCCAUUUCAUUACGCAUGCCAAGGAAGGAUGACAACACAAGAUCUUGAGAUACUGCUGCUUUCAAGGAUGCAGUGAGAGUCGCCUUAUUGAUGCUUAUAGGCCAGUAACCGCACAGGACGUAAGCAUGCGCAAUUAUGCCCCCUAGGGUACGAUAGAGAUCUGUAGCAUGCAGCCUGAAAAUAAAGAUGAGAAACUACUAUCAGAUUUGAAGCAGAAUAAAUCUCAUGCCAAUUUUAUCAAAAUUCAAUCAUUCUUUUUUUCAUUUUUGGUUGAAAAAAAAUCUAAAAAUAAUAAGCGUACCUUAACAAACUCAAGGGGGUGGCUAUCUCCUCUGACAUUGGCCAGGACUGUCCUUUGCUUGGUAAAGCGGUGAUUCACAGAUGGGGAAUCAUUGUCCACGUCGGUCACUCGUACCCAUGGUCGACCAGCUGCCCCUAGAUCAGAACCACUGUCGGAAUCACUCCCACCACUACUCUCGGGCAACAAAUCUUCGGCUUCGCUGUCCAGCUCGGAUUCAGCUCUCCUCAAAUCCCCGGUUGCCUCUUCCAGAAUGCUCUCUUCUUCCUCUAAAUCGCUCAGGUUUGGCACCUCAUCUUUGACAACAUUGCUGCUACGAUCGAAGUCAACAUCCUCCAUCUCGACAUCGCUUUCCAGAUCCAUAUUUUGAAGAAAGUCUUGAAAAAACACCGAUGAAAAUCUUCGCAAAUGCACGCGAUUCAAUUGUAAACAAAAGAGGAUCUGGGCUCGGAAAUUUUCGGUGGUAACCGGAAAUUUUCGGACAGAAAAUUAUUCAAAAAAAUAUUUCAAAUUGCAGCAAAUUUAUGAUACAAUAUCACUAAAAAAAUAAAGUUUGUCUAAAUCUUGAUUACAAUCGAUUUUACAACGUAAACACGCAAUUUAAAUACCCGGUAGUAAACAUUUAAAUGUCCGAUUUUCUUCGUGAAUGCAGUUUCGGAUUUUUUUUUUGCUCCGAUUUCAAAGACCAAUCAGAGCCUUUGUAUCAUCCCUAGCUCGCCGAUUUUUUUGCUAAUAGAGAGUCUAUGAUUGGCUGAUACUGUUUCCAUUCAUAAUUCGCCUCCCCGUGAUCUACCUUCGCAGAAAUACUACGUAAACAACACCAUAUUUGGAGGGCCACGAUCGUGGCCCGUCGAUAUGUAUGGAAGGCCACGAUCGUGGCCCGCCGCAGAUAAGCAUGCCAAGGAAGGAUGACAACACAAGAUCUUGAGAUACUGCCGCUGUCAAGGAUGCAGUGAGAGUCGCCUUAUUGAUGCUUAUAGGCCAGUAACCACACAGGGCGUAAGCAUGCGCAAUUAUGCGCCCUAGGGUACGAUAGAGAUCUGUAGCAUGCAGCCUGAAAAUAAAGAUGAGAAACUACUAUCAGAUUUGAAGCAGAAUAAAUCUCAAGGCCAUGGAUACUGGGAAUCCUGUUCAACAGAAGGGCAAUUCCAAGCAAAAGUAGACAUUUUCUAAAAAUUUAUAUUGGCUCUAUUUCAAAUCUGGAUCAAAUUUUUCUAACAAAACUCAAAUGGAAUUUCAUAAAUACAAAAGGGGAACAUUAUUAGCCACAUUUUUUUUCUUACGCAUCUCCAUAUAGGAUAAUCCAAACCAUACAAGAAAUUCUAUACAUGGGACUACAUAUAUUGUUUUUUACUUAAUUUCAAUUUAACAGAAAACUAUUGCUUGUUUUGUAAAAUUUUCUUCUGGAUAAUCUGAAGGUUAUCAUUUUGCAUCAUAUCAAACAAAAAUUUUAAAAUAAAAGUUCAUUUUACGUUGCCCACAAGUGGAUAUUUCUGAUGUCACUCCGUAACCAGGUAUGGGUUUACGUUUUAAGUCGUAAUUAAUGAAAUAAUGCACCAAUUUUUUAAUGUAAUGCAGCAUAUUAAGCUAGAACAACAUAGAAUCCAAUCAAUAAAUUAUGAUAGCAAUUUAUAAUUCAGAGUUUGAGCAAUAUGUUUUCUCCUCAAAUAUGCAUGUCCAUUUUGCGUCACUCCGUAACCAUGUUUAUGAAUAUUCAUAUCUCCUUAAUUCAGUGGAUCAAAAUAACAAAUGUUAUUAUAUUGAAAAGUGGGUUUCAGCAACUACUGUCAGGUACCAUUACUUGGCAAAUAACUACUCAAAUGUGGGUGAUAUCUUUGUCUGAAUGCAAAAAACCUGUUUCUGAAUGUCACUCCGUAACCGUGGAACUGCCCAGAACUAUUCUCAGUGAUUUAAGAUUUUUGGAUCCAUUAUUAAAUUUUCCAGUGAUUGUAAGUUUUUUUGGGGAGAGGGGUAUUUUUGUUGCAUUUGCCUGUGAAAAAAAUUGAAACUUUUUAGCAAUUUCACUUUGCAGGGCCGAGUUUUGAUUUAAAGAUACAUGGGUUAGCAAAAUACAUGUACGACGCAUACAUUGUCUACUCAUCACAGUUAAUGUGUUAUGCACCCAUUAUGGACUUCACAAUCUUAACAUAAUCAUGAUGUAAAUAAUGGCCCAUCAGGUGCAAACGCUUUCUUGCUCGAUUUAGAUUGAGAAUGUGGAGAAUCUUCUUGCAGUAUUCCAAGGCCUUCCGUUUAACCUUUAAAAAACUAGGGGCAUCAUGCAAUCUUUUAAAUGGCUUGUCCAUUUCUGCUGCUGGAAGUAGCAGAGACGCCAAGAUGUGUUUAUAGUGGAGAUUGAGAUUUUUUAUGACUCCUUUGUCCAUCCGCUGUUUUACACUGGUUGUAUUCAGUGGAAAAAACACAAGUUCAAUGUUUUCCAGUGUUACUUUUGGAUGGGCUAGGCACUUAACAACAAUCAUGGCAAUCAGUUCUGCCUUCCCAUCUUGUCAAGUUUUUGCAACCAACCCCCAAAAUUCAUCCAUGCUUUCUUAUUGGCUUGAUACUUAACAGGAAGUUUCUUUUUCAUAUAGAAAAGCACUUGGACCAAUCAUGAAAAGUGGCAUCUUAUCACUCCUAUCAACUUGGCGCAAAAGAGGGCAGUGAUACACGUUUUAGACUGUAUGUUUUCUUGACAGUAUUGCAUUUAUUGAUAUCCAGGGGAAAGCCUAAAAGUUUUCUAUGGAUUAUGGUUGCACUACGUUUGGGCAACCAUUCCAGUCCAUUCAGACUUUCAUAAAGUUGUAUUCUGAGCAGCAUAUGCACAUUAGUACUGCUCAUAUGGUCAAUUCAUAUGAUUAAAAAUCCUGACCUACUUAUAGAGUAAACUUCGCCUUUGUCGACCUUCUGUCUUGAUUCCCCCCAUAGAAAAGCCCACUUUUCUACGUCGAACUAUUGCCCGAGUCAAUCAAGUUACUGGACAAUAUACUCAUAAAAAACAUGCAAUUUUCAUCUUCGAAGGUCUUCUAAGACGAACAAGACAAACAUUUGCCAUACACUCGAUCGUGACCAUUUCAGUACAGAUACACUCGUAUUAAAUCUACUCUAGACCGCCACACACUCUAAGCCAUUUAGUCACACAGGGAACAUCUCCACACCCCCUCAUACAUAAAUGCAAUACUGUCAAGGAACAAUAACCUAAUAAUUGAGUGUAAAGCUGGUAACACCAAUAAAAAGAUUUUGAGGGAGCCUUUGGUAUCGCAAGAAUGUUAUGGGUAAAUGAAGAGAUUAAACUAGGAUAACUGUGCUUCAUGUUACCCCAAAUUGUAUAAUCGUCCUUGAAAUCUGUGAUAGCAUUGUAUUUUUACCUGUGAUCGUUGUUGGGCACUUUUUCAAGAUGUCCAGUCAUAUAUUUGUCGGCGAAAGCCGGAAAAAAUAAUUGGAACAUCUCUUUAGUCACCCCGUCAUGGUCGACAGCGAUUUCAUCUUUUAGCUCGACCGUAAGCCGAUGGUGUUCUAGCUCGAGGUUUGACCUGUAUGCAUUCAGAACCGUGUCUAUGAUGUCAUGACGACUAACAACGAUUUUUCUAUUUGCACAAAGGUACAAAAAGGCCUGUGCUCUCCUUCUCUCAAGCUCGGUCAUGUCUGUUAUAUGAAUAUACAUAUAUUCCGCCAUCAGAAAAGCGGCACCUAUAGGCUAUGCAGAUGAACCAAAAAUGAGUUUACGAUAGUAAUUGUACACACUAUUAUAGUUAUCCAUUCUCUAUGGAAACUAAACACACACUGGUGUGCCCUGAAAAGUAUCGUUUAAAAAAUACAAUGAUUAAAGCGCAUCCAUAAUUAAAUGUUCUGAAAACAUUAUAUUCCAUGUCCCUGUUAAAGUUGUCCUGGCUGAAAUACAGCCUGCUCAGGGUCAAAGUGUCUGCAGGUUGUAGCCGCCAGUCUCCUCUAAGUCCAUCAGUGGAGUUGAAGUCCACCCUCAGGACUUGGUUGGGGAGGAAGGCAUUGCUUGCUGUCCAGAAGGUGAAAAACUCCAUGAAUUGGUCUGAACGUAGAGAUGCCAUCCACGUCUUCAAGAAUAUGAUCACCCUUUCCUCCAUUAUCCUAUUCACAUCAUCUUCGGAGAAGACAGGGAAGAUAGCAUCUUCCAGCUUGGUCGCAUCUGGGUAUGCGUGCUCGAUGAGGAGCACAAUAUGCUCCUCGCAUACUCCAUGCCACAAGCUUCUGUACGUAUCGAGCCCUUGUCCCUUCUGUAGAAAGGCAUGAUAAGGCCUAUAUACAGUAACAGCACUUGCCAAACUGGCAAGCACCUCUUGCACGUUCUGGUUGGUGACCCUUUGUCUAGAAGAGAAAAAAGAAAUCAGAUGAAUAAAAGUGCAUGUUUACCCCUGCCCCUUGACCCCAAAAUUUAAUCUACGGAUUAGAUUUAACAUCUAAUAAGCUUCCACAAAUUGUAAUACCCCCAAACCCCAAAUAAGAAAAAAAGGGGAUUACCCUGCUCUCUGAUUUGAGGAAUUGAUAAAGGUUUGAUUUUGCACAUUUAGCUCAUUGCAAUUUUUUUGUGUUCAUUUUACCACAUUUAAUUUCUUCACAAUAUAGUAGCAACAUGAUACUUUGUUGUAGUUUCUUUUGUCAUUAUCCUUCCUGCUGUACAGAGGAACCUUUAUUUCUUGAUAAUCAGUUACAACUGCAUUUACUGUAUCAAAACUGGGUAGACUACAUAACGUUAUACCAAGUUUAACAAACCACUGACUGUGAUGAAAUUCAAUCCUUACUUUUCUGUGUCUCUUUGCAAAACAGUCACUGCAGUAACUCGGCAGGCAAUCCAAACAAUUGAACAACCCCAUGAAAUGUUCACAUUCAUCACGCACGAAUUUGGGCUCCUCCCAUCAUGUGCUAUAUCAAAUGCCAUAGUUGGUGGCCACAUAGUUAAUGAAUUGGCUUCUGAAAUCCAAUUGUUAAGAGUCUUUGGGUUGGGUAGUGAUCCCGUUGGAGUCUCGAGAAUGUCUUCAAAAUGCAGGGCUUUCUCUUUGUCCGUGUCUGCUUGAGACGUGGCCGGUGCUGCAAGCUCUGGCAUCCUCUUCGCGGCGAAGACCAAGGCAACCAAUUCAUCCUUUUUCCCACUUUUAAGUUCCUUUUCUGGAGAAAGUCUUUCAAUGCACCCACGUUCCACAGUUUAAUAUUGUCGAUUGAUAUAUCCUCAUCAUCCAUGAUGAAACACAAAAAACAAGUUAUAAAUCUGAUAAAAUUGUUGAAUUACAGAGCAAAACAAUUGGCAAACUUAACCUAGGCUCAUAUAAUUUGCUGUGUAUGAUACUAGCCUAGAUCCUAGCAAUUCUAUUGAUUUUUAAGUCAGAAGGUCAAAAGUGAAGUCGCCAUCUUCCACUUUUCUUGCUUGACCAAUAAAUCAAUUUUCCGCGUUACAGACGGGCGUAUUAUGUGCUCGCCUUAGCAACACUCUUGUUGUUUUCACUGGAUCAUCUGAAAAAAUUGCGACAUGAAAAUAUGCUGCCUGGUGAAUAAGAACUGCAGCUUUCUUAUAAUCUCUGUGGGCUGUGUUCCAUCCAGUGUGUCUUCAUGAGUUUCUUUUGGUUGCUCAUACUGUCCAGAAGACUUGUUACAUGUGUUUUCUGACUAUAAAUUACCUAUUACUGAAUUAAACAAACAACAUAAUGUUCUUUCAUUAACUUAUUGAUGGGUGAUUCCAUUUGUGUCGUACGGGACAUUUAGAGAACAUUUGACAGUUUUUUUACAAGAAAAACAAAAAAUAUUCCAGUAACUAAAGGUGAUCAUCAAGUACUACCAGAGUGUUAGGAAAACCAAGACUUAACAUGACUUGAAUUCACAUCCUGUAUAAUACAGAUUUAAAAUAGUAAUGUGUCGUACGGACGCAGAAAAAUUUGCUUUUUUAGAAACCCAAGUUUGUACUCUAAAGUGUGAGUUGGACAGAUAAUUUUCAUAGAAACUGAACUCAAAUUGAUAUUCAAUUACCCAAGAACAAACACAUCUAUGAAAGAAAGCAAAAAUAAACAUUCAUGAAUAAAUAAAGCAAAUUACAAUUUUCGAGAACAUUGUGGCGAACAGGACACUCAAAAUGUGUCAUACGGGACAUCUCUAAAUUGAAGCCAAACUUUCUUAUUUUAUGUCUCUUUGACUUUUUCGAUCACUUUAUUUUGCUGAUGAUAAUUAUAAUCCUAUCAAACUAAAGACAUUCAUUAUGUUAGAAACCGCUUUUGGCUGAAUAUUUCUGUUAAUAUAUCAUAAACAAAACAAUGUGUCGUACGGGACACUUGUGUGGCGUACGGGACACAUGUGUGUCGUACGGGACACUUGUGUGUCGUACGGGACACUUGUGUGUUGAACAGACUCAAGUGUUGUACUGGACAGCCUAAAUAAAACAAUGAACUUUUUAUCAAUCAGAAGGGGAGCAUUGUCCCUAAAUUCUUCCUUUUAAUGAAAACCCUUUUAAUAAGUAGUCAUUCAGGACAAUAUAAUUAAUCUGGAGCAAUAUAUUAUCUUUUUUUUCAUGAUGGGAAAUGUACAAUGGUUCACAGCAUUUUUACGAGCUGAAAAACUUGAGGUUUUGUGUGAAGUUAUAUAUUAGUGAAUUAAUUGAUGAUUUCCAAUACACUAUUUAAACAAUGAAUGAAGGAAACUGUUUGUGUAAAUUAUGGGGCUAAAAUGUUAUGAUUUUUCAUAUAAAAUGUAUAUAUACAUGAUAUAUGUCACAACUCACUUGAAAUCCCACAAAAUAUUUUUUUUUCUAAAGAAAUGUGAUUCUACUUUUUCAAAGCUUUCUGCAUUUCAUGAAACCAUAUGGGUUGUCUUAUUUUCCAGAUUUUUUUUAACAACAUGGUUUUUCUUAUUUUCCAGAUUUUUUUUUUUUUACUUGAAAAAAGUAAGGAGUUUCAAUACUGUAUGUAAAAAAAUUAGUGAUCAUCAAGGGAAGUCCAAAUAGAUGAUAGGUAAAUAUUUUUUUUUACAUCUUAUAAUAAUUUCACAUUGGCAUGCAAGAGGAAGUCAUCUUCCAGGCUCGGGUGAAUCAAUUAUAAAGAUUUUCUUUUCAUGCUCAAUGACAAAGAAAUUAACCUGCUCUGACCAGUGAAAAUCACCAGUUUAGCUGAAGGGACUCACAUAAGAAUACGCCUACAUGUACAUGAAGUCAAUUAAAAUGGUUAGAUUCACCUUUUUCAUGUUCUAUGGAGAUUAAAAAAAAGUACUAUUUCAGUUCACUUUAUGUCAAAUCAAUUACUUAAAUUAAAAUAGGCCUACUAUUUAUAGUUUCUGAACCCAAAUCCUGCAAUUAAAUGCAGUAUAUAUUGUGUCGUACGGGACAUGUCCCGUACGACACACACUUUGUCGUACGGGACAACUUUUAAUAGGACAAUUAUUGAAAAAUGAAGGGCAGUAAUUAAAUCCUUAUGGGAUAAAUCGAUCACCCAUGGGUCAGAGAUAGAGAAACUGUUAUCAUCAAAAGUUAGAAUUGUAGGAAAAACAUUUUCAUGUGUCGUACGGGACAUUGCCAAAAAUAGGUUCGGAAAAAUCAGGGCUGCCCCCAUUAUGGAUCAUGAAAAUGUUGUAGAUAUUAUUUGGAACCAUCAAUGAUACAUUAUUCCAUUGACCCGCAAUAUUUUCAAUCUUCUCGUGCUUUGCCAAUAAUCGUUUCAGGCAGUGUGUGUACUUGACUAUUUAUUUAGGAAAAAUUAUUGAAAAUUGAAAAUUCAAUUGUUUCCCAAAAAAAAAACUAUGUCUGACUUCCUUUUUGGUUAAAACUCAUAUUUUUCAUAAAAUUUAGGCAUCAUAGUAAAAUAUUACACUACUUAUGACUUAUUGAAAGCAUGUUGAAAUUUAUGAUAUUUUUGAAGUUCUAGUGUGGAAUCGCCCUGAUACAAGAGCAUUCAUGCAGGGACGAACAUAGGCAAGUGAACACAAUGAUGAUGCUAAAAUACUACUUCCAAACCUCUUCUGAUCAUUGUAACUCAUAGUGCUCCCUUCUCUUCAACUUUUCACUUGUGAAAUAUUUUGUGAUAAAUGAUAAUGUUACACGAAAUGUAAGCUCUUCCAUUUUCUCCUGGACGUCUCUCGUUAAAGAUUUUCAGACGGGUAAUUUGAACUUUUGAAAACGCUUGAAAUUUGUACUAUUUGGCAUACGAUUCUGAAAGUUUGAAUACCUUGUGGUACUUCCUCUGCCCCAUUAUUGCCUGGACUUCUGUGGAUACCAUAUUAUGCAAUUAACUAUCUUUAAGCUUUAUGAAGUGAAUGAUUUCGUUCCUAGUCACAUCAUACUUCUCUAGGCAUGGCAUCUUUUUAUGGUUGCCAACUUAGACAAGAUGUGUCCUAGCUUCAGAAAAACUGAAGGAUGAUUUACUGAGCCAUCCCCAGCCUGUCCUACCAGCUUUACUAUUUCCACAUUUUUUAUCAAAGUGGGCAGGUGUCAAGGAUCCAUCCAUCCCAAAGCAUUGUCAACUUGUCCUAAUUAUUUUUAUUCAAUGAUGUUUUUCUUUGUUUAAAUAUAGAGGUAGAAAAUUUGUAACGUCAGGGACACUAUAUUCACUUAUUGUAUUGUUUUAAAUUAAAGCUUUUCCUUGUACUUUGUCACAUUUUUGUUAUGUAUUUGGAAAUGGAAAUAAAGUGAAAUGAAAUGAAAUGAAAUCUUUAACAAAAUGUCUGAAACGUAAUUACCUUCAUCUAGUUCCAUCAGGAGUCUUCCAACAACAGUCAGUGCCUUAACAGCUGGUGGAGCUUGGUAUAUGUUUUUGUUGGUGUCCUCAGAGUGACCCAAGUGUUUGUAUACAUAGGCUCUGUCCUGCUACGGGACAUCCAUCAGCGAAAACAGUGUGCUGACCCUGUGACGGUUCUUGGUUGCUGUCAGGAGCUCGGGUUUAUUUGAGGUCAAGCCCCUCGCACACAUUGCUGACAGCGUGCCAACCAGAAACAUGAUCUUGGGAUCCGCCGGUACUUUGGAACAUGAAGGGGUUGGUCUGGGAGACCCCAACGUCUUCCCUAACCUUCUCAUCAGCCAAGAGGCGCAUAGCUGCAUGUGUGUCUUCUGGAAAAAGAACAGAAAUGAGAUGUUUCACCCCCUCUGCUUUGGUAUAACCUAUAAAAUUGUCUCAAAAACACUGAACAAUAAUUUUUGAUUAGAUACAGUUUUACGGACUUUCAGGGACCCAUCUACGGCCCUAAGGCAUCUGCACCCAAGAAGCAUAUGGGACCCAUAUUGGUGAACCCAUAUAAGACAGAUGAGACCCAUAUAUCAACAAUUUCCAAACUGGGUAUAAAAUGGGCAAUAUAUAUGGACAAACCAUCUGGGGCCCAAAGGCAUCGAUCUGCAUGGGACCCAUAUGGGUAAGCCGAUAUAAGCCAGAUGGGACCCUUAUCACUGAUUUCAAACUUGGCAUUACAUGGGCUGUGUUACAGGAGCAAUAUAUGGGGCCCAUCUGGCAUCCGGAUCCAUGAGUGCUAGCUAUGGCCAAUGUGAAUGGAUUGUGGGCUGGGCUUUUAUGUGGAGUGGGUCUCGUUACAUGGCCAGGACGCGCGUUUCCGUUUUACACCCUGGCGAAGGCAUUUUCCGGAAAAAUAGCCAAAAAGCGACUAGUGAAGAGUCUACACACGUCGCUGGUUGCAGGCGAGUCCCACACCACCGCAUGCAAUCUGCACAGUUACUGAUCAGAGCACAGAGUUCCUCGGCACUUCAUGUAUGUACAGAGAGCAGUCAUAUGAGUGAAAUCCGAACAUGCUUUUGCAGUUGCGUUUUUUUCUAAAAAUAAAUUAAUAACUAAAUGAAUAGAAUGACAGACAAAAUAAAAAUAAACAGAUACCUAUAAUAUAAAGACAAAUUGAAGUUUGAUGGAUUGAUACACUUAGAUGCCGAAAGGUAGAUAUAAAAGACGGAUAAAUAGAUAAAGACAUAUACAGAUAGAUAGAAAUAGAAAGACAGAGAGAUGGAUAGAUAGAUAGAUGGGGGGAGAGAACUUGAGAGAUGGAGAGAUUUUAUAGAUAGAUAGAUAUAUGGAUGGAUAAAGAGAAAUAGAGAAAGAGAAAAAAAGACAGACAGAUGGAUAGAUAGAUAUAAGAUAGAGCAUUAGAGAGAUAUAUAGAUAGAUAGAAUGAGAGACACGGAGAAGAUAGAAAAAUUAACAGAUAGAUACAUAGAUGAAUAGAUAGAUAGAGAGAGAGAGAGAAAUAGAGAAAGACAGACAGAUGGAUAGAUAGAGGGGCUCUGAGGGGAGAGAGGGAUAGAGAAUUUGAGAGAUAGGUAGAUGUUAGAUAGAUAGAUAAAGAAUGAGAGAGACAGAGAAGAUAGACAAAUGAACAGAUAGAUAGAUACUGUAGUUACAUAGAUAGAAGAUAGAUAGAUAGAUGGGGGAGAGAACUUGAGAGAUGUUAUAGAUAGAUAGAUAUAUAUAUGGACGGAAAGAGAGAUAAAAGACAGACAGAUGGAUAGAUAGAGGGAGAGAUAGAGCAUUAGAGAGAUAGAUAGGCCUAGAUGUUAGAUAGAUAUAUAGAUAGAUAAAGAAUGAGAGAGACAGAGAAGAUAGACAAAUUAACAGAUAGAUAGAUACUGUAUACAUAGAUAGAGAGAAAGACAGACAGAUGGAUAGAUAGAUAGAUAGAGAGAAUUUGAGAGAUAGGUAAGAUGUUAGAUAGAUAGAUAAAGAAUGAGAGAGACAGAGAAGAUAGACAAAUUAACAGAUAGAUAGAUACUGUAGUUACAUAGAUAAAUAGAUAGAUAGAAGAUAGAUAGAGAGAGAGAAAGACAGACAGAUGGAUAGAUAGAUAGAGAGGGGCUCUGAUGGGAGAGAGAAUUGGAGAGAUAGGUAGAUGUUAGAUAAAUAGAUAAAGAAUGAGAGAGACAGAGAAGAUAGAAAAAUUAACAGAUAGAUAGAUACUGUAGUUACAUAGAUAAAUAGAUAGAUAGAUAGAUAGAUAGAGAAAGACAGACAGAUGGAUAGAUAGAUAGAGAGGGGCUCUGAUGGGAGAGAGGGAUAGAGAAUUUGAGAGAUAGGUAGAUGUUAGAUAAAGAAUGAGAGAGACAGAGAAGAUAGACAAAUGAACAGAUAGAUAGAUACUGUAGUUACAUAGAUAGAUAAAUAGAUAGAAGAUAGAUAGAUGGGGGAGAGAACUUGGGAGAUGUUAUAGAUAUAUAUAUGGACGGAAAGAGAGAAAAAAGACAGACAGAUGGAUAGAUAGAGGGAGAGAGAGAGAGAGAGAGAGAGAUAGAGCAUUAGAGAGAUAGAUAGAUGUUAUAUAGAUAUAUAGAUAGAUAAAGAAUGAGAGAGACAGAGAAGAUAGACAAAUUAACAGAUAGAUAGAUACUGUAGUUACAUAGAUAUAUGAAAAAUAUUUGAGAGAUAGAUAUAUAGAUGGAUAGAGAGAAAGACAGACAGAUGGAUAGAUAGAUAAUUUGAGAGAUAGACAGACAGAUGGAUAGAUAUAUAGAGAAUUUGAGAGAUAGACAGACAGAUGGAUAGAUAGAUAGAGAAUUUGAGAGAUAGACAGACAGAUGGAUAGAGAAUUCGAGAGAUAGAUAGACGGAUAGAGAGGAAUAGAGAGAGAGAAAAAGACAGACUGAUGGAUAGAUAUAAUUUGAGAGAUAGAUGGAUAGAGAGAAAUAAAAGAGACAGAUGGAUAGAGAGAGAAUUUGAUAGAUGUUAGAUGGAUAGACAGAUAGAUGAGAAUGAGAGAGAGAGUAGAUAGACAAAUUGACAGAUAGAUAUAUCAUGUAGUUCCAUAGAUUGAUUUCUAACAUACACUACUCAAAAAAAGUUAAGGACCACUUUUUAAAACGUACAUAAAGAUUUUAUACAAGGUGUUUUAUU
Long non-coding RNA from Lytechinus pictus (painted urchin), 25628 nucleotides. RefSeq lists it as uncharacterized. The record is from RefSeq and is a predicted model, not a curated record. NCBI's taxonomy places the organism in Eukaryota, Metazoa, Echinodermata, Echinoidea, Temnopleuroida, Toxopneustidae. The transcript is spliced from 4 exons.